AACGUAGGGGGCGAGCGUUGUCCGGAAUUACUGGGCGUAAAGGGCGUGUAGGCGGCUCGUGAAGUCAGGAGUGAAAACUCAGGGCUCAACCCUGAGAGUGCUUUUGAAACCAGCGGGCUUGAGUGCAGGAGAGGAAAGUGGAAUUCCCAGUGUAGCGGUGAAAUGCGUAGAUAUUGGGAGGAACACCAGUGGCGAAAGCGGCUUUCUGGCCUGCAACUGACGCUGAGGCGCGAAAGCGUGGGGAGCAAACAGG
Molecule: ribosomal RNA, 253 nt
Filed under: uncultured bacterium
Lineage: Bacteria
Description: partial 16S ribosomal RNA
Rfam family: Bacterial small subunit ribosomal RNA
Source: RNAcentral